This 71-nucleotide transfer RNA is filed under the name Phycisphaerales bacterium. Its description in RNAcentral is "tRNA-Gln". It matches the Rfam family "tRNA". From Rfam's summary of the family: Transfer RNA (tRNA) molecules are approximately 80 nucleotides in length. Their secondary structure includes four short double-helical elements and three loops (D, anti-codon, and T loops). Lineage: Bacteria; Pseudomonadati; Planctomycetota; Phycisphaerae; Phycisphaerales. The record is from RNAcentral.
UGCCCCAUGGUGUAAUGGUAGCACAGCUGGUUUUGAUCCAGUCGGUCCAAGUUCAAAUCUCGGUGGGGUAA